AGGACGAACGCUGGCGGCGUGCUUAACACAUGCAAGUCGAACGGAAAGGCCCUGCUUUUGUGGGAUGCUCGAGUGGCGAACGGGUGAGUAACACGUGAGUAACCUGCCCUUGACUUUGGGAUAACUUCAGGAAACUGGGGCUAAUACCGGAUAGGAGCUCCUGCUGCAUGGUGGGGGUUGGAAAGUUUCGGCGGUUGGGGAUGGACUCGCGGCUUAUCAGCUUGUUGGUGGGUAGUGGCUUACCAAGGCUUUGACGGGUA
RNAcentral lists this ribosomal RNA (260 nucleotides) under uncultured soil bacterium. RNAcentral's name for it is "partial 16S ribosomal RNA". It matches the Rfam family "Bacterial small subunit ribosomal RNA", at positions 26 to 285 of the family's 1533-position model. The record is from RNAcentral.